UACCCUUUUAAAGACAGUCCAGAGAGGCUGGCAAAGGGGAGUCAAUCGGAAGAGCUGUGCCCAUGUAUAGGCAUUUACCUUCUGAGAAGCCCUCUUUGUAUACAGCAAAGAGGGUUUUUACAG
Non-coding RNA from Bacillus sp. FJAT-22058, 123 nucleotides. NCBI's taxonomy places the organism in Bacteria, Bacillati, Bacillota, Bacilli, Caryophanales, Bacillaceae. The record is from Rfam.